RNAcentral lists this transfer RNA (65 nucleotides) under Pthirus pubis (crab louse). Its description in RNAcentral is "tRNA-Arg". The record is from RNAcentral. Lineage: Eukaryota; Metazoa; Arthropoda; Insecta; Psocodea; Pthiridae.
GGUCAUUUAGCACAAAAAGUGCGUGUAAUUUCGGCUUAUAAGGUUUAACCUGGUUAAAAUGAUCA